CUCCUACGGGAGGCAGCAGUGGGAAUCUUGCACAAUGGGGGCAACCCGUGAUGCAGCGACGCCGCGUGAACGAUGAAGCCCUCGGGUGUAAAGUUCUUUCGGCAGGGACGAUAAUGACGGUACCUCGAAGAACGAAGCUGCGGCUAACUACGUGCCAGCCGCCGCGGUAAUUC
This 173-nucleotide ribosomal RNA is filed under the name uncultured bacterium. Its description in RNAcentral is "partial 16S ribosomal RNA". It matches the Rfam family "Bacterial small subunit ribosomal RNA", at positions 336 to 526 of the family's 1533-position model. The record is from RNAcentral.